CUGCUCUGGGCAGGUUUUCUCUGGGGCUCACUGGCUGGGUGCGCAGCGGCCAGCACUUGGUUUGGGGCCCCUCUGGGCUCCAGCCCUAGAGCUAUAAGAUGUAAUUGUUACUUUGUUUUGUAUUUUUCAGUUCAAAGUGUCUGAACUGAUCCAGGGCUGUGCUGUAGCUUGCCUGAGCAGAGUCUGUGUGGAAUGAUAGCACAGCUCAAACAGCUCGUCCUUGAGCCAGCACCACCCUGGGCUGUAUCAACGGGAGCGCAGCCAGUAGCUCAAGGGAAGGGAUUAUCGCCUUCACUCAGCACUUGUUAGACAAUAUCUAGACCUCAUUGUGCCCAGUUUGGGACCCCCAGUACAAGCGAGACAUCGAC
RNAcentral lists this long non-coding RNA (368 nucleotides) under Struthio camelus australis. RNAcentral's name for it is "lncRNA (ENSSCUG00000015201.1)". Lineage: Eukaryota; Metazoa; Chordata; Aves; Struthioniformes; Struthionidae. The record is from RNAcentral.